UCUAUCUCUCAUUUUUCCCACAACUCUCCUGAGUAGUAUUACUCUGCAGAAAUCUCGCCAGAGUUAGCACCACCGAACCGCCGUCCACCCUCUCCCGUAACCGAGCCGACCAAGCCAACGGAAAGCUUAGUCGAAGGGUACCAUCGGAUUCGUGACGACGAGACGAAGCCGGAGACACCAAGCGCUGCCACCGCCGACGAGCCACGCGCCGCCACGCGCCGGAAGAAGGAAGCGCGUGACGCCCACGCGCAGCCACGCGCCGCCGAGUCCUCGGAGCGUGGAGCUCACGCGCCGCCGCCGGUGACCGGAACCGCCGCUGUUCUCCGGAGCCGCCGUGACCGGCAGCCGUCCAUUCACCGCCGGGAUUCCGCCGCCGCGUCGUCGCCGGACCGCCGUCGCCGCCGGUGACUUUUCCGAUCCGGAGUCGGUUUAUUCAUUCGAGGUCCAGAAGUCGUAGGUUCAGCAUUGCUAAGGUGAGGGCUAUUUCCAAACCGCUGUGCUUUGUUCGAGAAUCCUAAUUUACGAAUAGUGCAGCACUGAAUGUGAUGUGUUUCAAUGAUCGAGUCUAGUUAGUUUGAUUGCUUAAAUUGGACAUAGGAAGAUAGAUGAUUAAACCCAUUUGUUUGUCACAUACUGUUAAAUGUUUUUUUGUUAUAAAUAUAUAUAUAUAUAUAUAUAUAUAUUAUAUGAGAUAUAGCGGAUACAGAUAAAGGAACUUCUGUAUGGUGCCGCAUUGUUUGAGGUAGGGGUGAGGGCAAUGCAUAAUCGAUCUGUUGCCCUCCACCUUAAGAUCGAUAAGCGUCCCAGGGGCGGUGUGAGUGGGCACUAUCCCAUGAGUUACCUCUGUGUGAGGGUGUGAUUGGGCACUAUCCCAUAAAUGAUCUCGUUGAGGGUGUGAUUGGCCACUAUCCCUCCGUAGGAAAAUUGUAUGUUGAUUGAGCACUGUAGGUGCUGUGUUUGCUCAUAUUUUGUACUCCAUUAUUUUGCGAUUAGUUUUCUUGGCUGAGUCAGUGACAUGCGGACUUAGCAUCCCAUACCUCACUGAGCGACUCCCCUGUUGCUCACCCCUCUUUCCCCAUUUCAGGUGAGCCAGACGAGUAGUUAUGACUUGAUGAGUUGGGAUGUGUCAUUUUGGGAUGGAUUAUCGUUUUCAGUAUUCUAUUCGAGACUUUUA
Molecule: long non-coding RNA, 1174 nt
Organism: Arabidopsis lyrata subsp. lyrata
Lineage: Eukaryota; Viridiplantae; Streptophyta; Magnoliopsida; Brassicales; Brassicaceae
Exons: 3
Source: RefSeq, a predicted model, not a curated record